GUCCACGCCGUAAACGAUGUCAACUAGCCGUUGGGUCUUUAAAAGACAUAGUGGCGCAGCUAACGCAAUAAGUUGACCGCCUGGGGAGUACGGCCGCAAGGUUAAACUCAAAUGAAUUGACGGGGCCCGCACAAGCGGUGGAGCAUGUGGUUUAAUUCGAUGCAACGCGAAGAACCUUACCUGGUCUUGACAUCCUCGGAACCCUUGAGAGAUCGAGGGGUGCCUUCGGGAACCGAGAGACAGGUGCUGCAUGGCUGUCGU
RNAcentral lists this ribosomal RNA (261 nucleotides) under uncultured bacterium. RNAcentral describes it as "partial 16S ribosomal RNA". It matches the Rfam family "Bacterial small subunit ribosomal RNA", at positions 793 to 1055 of the family's 1533-position model. The record is from RNAcentral.